RNAcentral lists this ribosomal RNA (233 nucleotides) under uncultured bacterium. RNAcentral describes it as "partial 16S ribosomal RNA". It matches the Rfam family "Bacterial small subunit ribosomal RNA", at positions 118 to 347 of the family's 1533-position model. The record is from RNAcentral.
UGAGCAAUCUGCCCUUCUCUUUGGAAUAAGCGUUGGAAACGACGUCUAAUGCCGAAUACGACCUCCUUUCGCAUGAUCGGAGGUGGAAAGCUCCGGCGGAGAAGGAUGAGCUCGCGGCCUAUCAGCUAGUUGGUGUGGGUAAUGGCCCAUCAAGGCGACGACGGGUAGCCGGCCUGAGAGGGUGACCGGCCACACUGGGACUGAGACACGGCCCAGACUCCGUACGGGAGCAG